Molecule: ribosomal RNA, 248 nt
Filed under: Pseudo-nitzschia fraudulenta
Lineage: Eukaryota; Bacillariophyta; Bacillariophyceae; Bacillariales; Bacillariaceae
Description: partial Eukaryotic small subunit ribosomal RNA
Rfam family: Eukaryotic small subunit ribosomal RNA
Source: RNAcentral
UUAGAUGUUCUGGGCCGCACGCGCGCUACACUGACAGAGCCAACGAGUUCUUUCCCUUGGCCGGAAGGUCUGGGUAAUCUUGUUAAACUCUGUCGUGCUGGGGAUAGAGCAUUGCAAUUAUUGCUCUUCAACGAGGAAUGCCUAGUAAGCGCAUGUCAUCAGCAUGCGUUGAUUACGUCCCUGCCCUUUGUACACACCGCCCGUCGCUACUACCGAUUGAAUGGCUCAGUGAGGCCUUCGGACUGGCU